GAUGAACGCUGGCGGCGUGCUUAACACAUGCAAGUCGAACGGAAAGGCCCUGCUCUUGUGGGGUGCUCGAGUGGCGAACGGGUGAGUAACACGUGAGUAACCUGUCCCUGUCUUUGGGAUAUCUUCAGGAAACUGGGGCUAAUACCGGAUAGGAGCUCCUGCUGCAUGGUGGGGGUUGGUAAGUUUCGGCGGUUGGGGAUGGACUCGCUGCUUAUGAGCUUCUUGGUGAGGUAGUGGAUUACCAAGGCUAUGACGGGUAGCCGGCAUGGGAGGUGGGACGGCGACAAUGGGACUGAGAUACGCACCAGACGCCUACGGGACGCAGCAGUGGGGAAUAUUGCGCAGUGAGCGGAAGCCAGAUGCAGCAGCGCCGCGUGCGGGAUGACGGCCUUCGGGUUGUAAACCGCUGUCGCCUGUGACGAAGCGUUAGUGACGGUAAUGGGUAAAGAAGCACCGGCUAACUACGUG
RNAcentral lists this ribosomal RNA (468 nucleotides) under uncultured bacterium. RNAcentral describes it as "partial 16S ribosomal RNA". It matches the Rfam family "Bacterial small subunit ribosomal RNA", at positions 28 to 507 of the family's 1533-position model. The record is from RNAcentral.